GACGGAGGUCCCGAGCGUUGUUCGGAAUUAUUGGGCGUAAAGCGCGUUCAGGCGGUUUGGCAAGUCGGGCAUGAAAUCUCUCGGCUCAACCGGGAGAGGUUGUCCGAUACUGCUGGACUUGAGGGCAGUAGAGGGUGGUGGAAUUCCGGGUGUAGUGGUGAAAUGCGUAGAUAUCCGGAGGAACACCAGUGGCGAAAGCGGCCACCUGGACUGCACCUGACGCUGACACGCGAAAGCUAGGGGAGCGAACGGG
Molecule: ribosomal RNA, 253 nt
Filed under: uncultured bacterium
Lineage: Bacteria
Description: partial 16S ribosomal RNA
Rfam family: Bacterial small subunit ribosomal RNA
Source: RNAcentral